Non-coding RNA from Benincasa hispida (wax gourd), 682 nucleotides. The record is from RefSeq and is a predicted model, not a curated record. Lineage: Eukaryota; Viridiplantae; Streptophyta; Magnoliopsida; Cucurbitales; Cucurbitaceae.
AACUCUCUAUAAAGAAAAUUCUCUCAAGAAAAAUCUCAUAUCUCUCGGAAGGAAUUUUUACAUAACCAUUUGCUUUUGUAAAAAUUGUUCUUCCCUUCUCCAAAGUUGAGAUCUCACAAUCUCAAUUCUGGUUGAAUAAUGACAAGAAAGACUCAAUCAUGGUGUUCUUAUUCGUGGCUGUUUGUAAGAUUGCGGAGAAGAAAUUCUUGAAGAAAGUUUACAAGAAAUUCGUCCAGAAAAUAUUGAAGAAGGUGGCCCACAGAAACAACUACACUUGGAGAGCUGAUAUGUUCACACGGCUUCAACUUCUUUGCAUGAAGAAGGACCAAAAUUUAGUUUUACAAAGAUGGUUGGAUUGGAAUCCCUGUGUGGACGAAAGUGGAGCUUAGGGUUAAAAUGUUGUUGGACCAAAAUGGCUUGUGUAAGAAUUGGUUGAUAAAAGAAAAUCUUUCAACCUUAGGUGGGGUUUUUUUAAUUUUUUAUUUAGGAACAAACCUUAGGUGGUUUAAAAAUGAGUGGAAUCCCAAGAAUUAUAUAAUUAUUUUUUUAAAAAAAUUAGUUCAAUUAAAAGUAAGGAGAUUCAAACUACAUAUCUCGUUGUUUCAAACAAACUUGUAUGCCAAUCGAGCUAUGCUCGAUUUGACAAGAAUUAUACUAGAUAAAUCAUAUGAUACUUGCGGAA